Ostrea edulis (European flat oyster) is the source of this 1219-nucleotide long non-coding RNA. RefSeq lists it as uncharacterized. The record is from RefSeq and is a predicted model, not a curated record. The transcript is spliced from 2 exons. Lineage: Eukaryota; Metazoa; Mollusca; Bivalvia; Ostreida; Ostreidae.
GCGCUUGUUUGGUUGUCAUUGUGCACUACUGGUUCAAAAUAUUUUCCUUACUUCUUGGGGUUAAUUAAGGCCUGUUAUUAUCUAUUUACCUGAUACUCAUUACACACUCGCUCAUUAGAUUGUAACAGGAAGGGGAAAAAUACAACGGACCAGACCGGGAUUCGAACCCGGGCCCCCUGGAAUCUCUAGUCGUGUGCUCUACCAACUGAGCUAUCUGGCCACCGGCGAUCGAACCCGGCUGACCGUUACACUCCUUCCUUCUUAAAUGUCUUCGCACCUGAAGACAUCAAUCCAGGAUCUUUAUCCCCUGGCAGGCAUUUUCACCUGUUCCAGGGGCUGGUCACGGCACCAAAUGUAACAGAAAGGGAGAAAAUGCAACGGAUCAGACCGCGAUUCGAACCUGGAUCCCCUGAAUUCUCUAGUCAGAUGCUCUACCAACUGAGCUAACUGGCCACUGGCGAUCGAACCCGGCUGACCGUUACACUAUUAUGGAACCACCAGAGGGCAUUCUGUGUUUUGGAAUAUUCGGUCAACUUUACAUAAUUAGUAGUUCAGACAGCACUGUCUACUUCCUCCAAUUUGACCAAAGUUUCUGUGUUCCUAAUCUUAAAUUCAGGUUCAGAACUAACCUUCUUCUGUUUUGAUUAACCUCAACUUCCUGAUGAACUUGAGAUAUCGUCUGAACUGCCACACAGUCAUCCAUCUUCUCCGCCCUAUCAAGUUUCUCAACCUUGCGGAUGACGUUACCAAGAAUGACAUCUGCUAUUGGAGAGUUUCACAAAGGAUGUUUCCACAUUUACGCACCCUUCUGGACAUUUCUUCUCAGUUCCAUCCGCAAGAAUUAUCUUUCGAUCUCUAUCUGUCCUGUUUAUCAGUGACGAAACUACUGUGGACAAAAAUUGUUGAACAUCCAGUAUCUCUAAGAAGUUAAGAACUGUUGCAUUCUUACCCUCAACGAUCCCUUUGUAUAUAUCCAAACCUGGAACUGACAGUGUGUCAUGUUAAACACCAGGACGCGCACCUGGAAGUUUUACAAACGCCCACUUGCGUACUCCUCUAUUUUGCCUCUUCCUACAGAUUCGACAAAUCCUUGUUCUGAAAACACAAAUUCACUGUACCUCCUUUCUUGGUCUGAGAAGUGUCUCGAUAUUCCGUUUCUGCAAUGGACAGUCUCUUUUGAUAUAUCUUGCAGGUCUGUUUAAAAAAAUUCUUUUCUGAA